GAUGAACGCUGGCGGCGUGCUUAACACAUGCAAGUCGAACGGUGAAGCAGAGCUUGCUCUGUGGGUCAGUGGCGAACGGGUGAGUAACACGUGAGCAACCUGCCCCUGACUCUGGGAUAAGCGCUGGAAACGGCGUCUAAUACUGGAUAUGAGCUGCGACUCCAUGGUCAGCAGUUGGAAAGAUUUGUCGGUCUGGGAUGGGCUCACGGCCUAUCAGCUUGUUGGUGAGGUAAUGGCUCACCAAGGCGUCGACGGGUAGCCGGCCUGAGAGGGUGACCGGCCACACUGGGACUGAGACACGGCCCAGACUCCUACGGGAGGCAGCAGUGGGGAAUAUUGCACAAUGGGCGAAAGCCUGAUGCAGCAACGCCGCGUGAGGGAUGACGGCCUUCGGGUUGUAAACCUCUUUUAGCAGGGAAGAAGCGAAAGUGACGGUACCUGCAGAAAAAGCGCCGGCUAACUACGUG
This 467-nucleotide ribosomal RNA is filed under the name uncultured bacterium. RNAcentral describes it as "partial 16S ribosomal RNA". It matches the Rfam family "Bacterial small subunit ribosomal RNA", at positions 28 to 507 of the family's 1533-position model. The record is from RNAcentral.